UACGUAGGGUGCGAGCGUUGUCCGGAUUUACUGGGCGUAAAGAGCUCGUAGGUGGCUUGUCGCGUCGUCUGUGAAAGUCUGGGGCUUAACUCCGGGUGUGCAGGCGAUACGGGCUGGCUUGAGUGCUGUAGGGGAGACUGGAAUUCCUGGUGUAGCGGUGGAAUGCGCAGAUAUCAGGAGGAACACCGAUGGCGAAGGCAGGUCUCUGGGCAGUCACUGACGCUGAGGAGCGAGAGCAUGGGUAGCAAACAGGAUUAGAUACCCUGGUAGUCCAUGCUGUAAACGGUGGGCGCUAGGUGUGGGGACUUUCCAUGGUUUCCGUGUCGUAGCUAACGCGUUAAGCGCCCCGCCUGGGGAGUACGGCCGCAAGGCUAAAACUCAAAGGAAUUGACGGGGGCCCGCACAAGCGGCGGAGCAUGUGGAUUAAUUCGAUGCAACGCGAAGAACCUUACCUGGGUUUGACAUGCACUAGAUGAGGCGAGAGAUCGUCUGUCCCUUUGUGGCUGGUGUGCAGGUGGUGCAUGGUUGUCGUCAGCUCGUGUCGUGAGAUGUUGGGUUAAGUCCCGCAACGAGCGUAACCCUUGUCUUAUGUUGCCAGCACGUUGUGGUGGGGACUCGUGAGAGACUGCCGGGGUGAACUCGGAGGAAGGUGGGGAUGACGUCAAAUCAUCAUGCCCCUUAUGUCCAGGGCUUCACACAUGCUACAAUGGCCGGUACAGUAGGUUGCGAGACCGUGAGGUGGAGCUAAUCCUUUAAAGCUGGUCGUAGUUCGGAUUGGGGUCUGCAACUCGACCCCAUGAAGUCGGAGUCGCUAGUAAUCGCAGAUCAGCAACGCUGCGGUGAAUACGUUCCCGGCC
RNAcentral lists this ribosomal RNA (857 nucleotides) under uncultured Corynebacterium sp. Its description in RNAcentral is "bacterial SSU rRNA". It matches the Rfam family "Bacterial small subunit ribosomal RNA", at positions 524 to 1379 of the family's 1533-position model. Lineage: Bacteria; Bacillati; Actinomycetota; Actinomycetes; Mycobacteriales; Corynebacteriaceae. The record is from RNAcentral.